GGGCCCAUAGUUUAAUGGAUCAGAAUACGGGACUUCGGAUCCUGUGAUGGAGGUUCGAUUCCUCCUGGGCUCA
Molecule: transfer RNA, 73 nt
Filed under: Candidatus Pacearchaeota archaeon CG10_big_fil_rev_8_21_14_0_10_34_76
Lineage: Archaea; Nanobdellati
Description: tRNA-Arg
Rfam family: tRNA
About the family: Transfer RNA (tRNA) molecules are approximately 80 nucleotides in length.
Source: RNAcentral